GGCUUCGUGGUCGAGUGGUAAGAGCACUUGCCUCUCACCAUGGAAUCCAGGGUUCGAUCCCCGGUCGAAGAGCUG
This 75-nucleotide transfer RNA is filed under the name Rhamnusium bicolor. RNAcentral describes it as "tRNA-OTHER". The record is from RNAcentral. Lineage: Eukaryota; Metazoa; Arthropoda; Insecta; Coleoptera; Cerambycidae.